This 914-nucleotide ribosomal RNA is filed under the name uncultured marine archaeon. RNAcentral's name for it is "bacterial SSU rRNA". It matches the Rfam family "Archaeal small subunit ribosomal RNA", at positions 1 to 922 of the family's 1478-position model. The record is from RNAcentral.
UUCCGGUUGAUCCUGCCGGACCUGACUGCUAUCGGAUUGAUACUAAGCCAUGCGAGUCAUUGUAGUAAUACAAGGCAGACGGCUCAGUAACGCGUAGUCAACCUACCCUAUGGACGAGGAUAAUCUCGGGAAACUGAGAAUAAUACUCGAUAGACCAUUAUGCCUGGAACGGUUUAUGGUUAAAAUGAUUCGUCGCCAUAGGAUGGGACUGCGGCCUAUCAGCUUGUUGGUGAGGUAAUGGCCCACCAAGGCGAUUACAGGUACGGGCUCUGAGAGGAGAAGCCCGGAGAUGGGUACUGAGACAAGGACCCAGGCCCUAUGGGGCGCAGCAGGCGAGAAAACUUUGCAAUGUGCGAAAGCACGACAAGGUUAGUCCGAGUGAUUUCUGCUAAAGAAAUCUUUUGCAAGUUAUAAAACCACUAGUGAAUAAGGGGUGGGCAAGUUCUGGUGUCAGCCGCCGCGGUAAAACCAGCACCUCAAGUGGUCAGGAUGAUUAUUGGGCCUAAAGCAUCCGUAGCCUGCUCUGUUAGUUUUCGGUUAAAUCCAUGUGCUCAACACAUGGGCUGCCGAAAAUACUGCAGGGCUAGGGAGUGGGAGAGGUAGACGGUACUCAGUAGGAAGGGGUAAAAUCCUUUGAUCUAUUGAUGACCACCUGUGGCGAAGGCGGUCUACCAGAACACGUUCGACGGUGAGGGAUGAAAGCUGGGGGAGCAAACCGGAUUAGAUACCCGGGUAGUCCCAGCUGUAAACGAUGCAGACUCGAUGAUGCAUUGGCUUAUUGCCAAUGCAGUGUCGCAGGGAAGCCGUUAAGUCUGCCGCCUGGGAAGUACGUACGCAAGUAUGAAACUUAAAGGAAUUGGCGGGGGAGCACCACAAGGGGUGAAGCCUGCGGUUCAAUUGGAUUCAACGCCGGG